UACGAAGGGGGCUAGCGUUGUCCGGAAUCAUUGGGCGUAAAGAGCGUGUAGGCGGCCAGAUAAGUCCGCUGUGAAAACUCGAGGCUCAACUUCGAGCUGUCGGCGGAAACUAUCUGGCUAGAGUCCGGAAGAGGAGAGUGGAAUUCCUGGUGUAGCGGUGAAAUGCGCAGAUAUCAGGAGGAACACCUAUGGCGAAGGCAGCUCGCUGGGACGGUACUGACGCUGAGGCGCGAAAGCGUGGGGAGCGAACAGG
RNAcentral lists this ribosomal RNA (253 nucleotides) under uncultured bacterium. RNAcentral describes it as "partial 16S ribosomal RNA". It matches the Rfam family "Bacterial small subunit ribosomal RNA", at positions 524 to 776 of the family's 1533-position model. The record is from RNAcentral.